GGUUUGUGGUUCUUGCAGACGGAAGCCUUUCUGAGCAGACUCCCAUUUACUUCUAUGUUGCCAAGGGGCUGAGGGCAAGUUGAAGACUUUCUUCUGUGCUGAUGAAUCAAGGUCUUCAAAGGCAACAGAUGUGAUGAAACCAAUUUAUGGAAGCACAGUUCCAGUGCUCAAAGGAGAAAAGUUCAGCAUGAGAAUAUUGGUGGAUCAUUCGAUAGUAGAAAGCUUCGCGCAGCCGGGAGGACAUGCAUACUUCGCGGAUAUAUCCAACGAAGGCCAUCUAUGAAGAUGCAAAAUUUUCUUGUUCAACAAUGCUACCGAGGCCAACAUCAUAGCCUCCCUCAAGAUUUGGCAAAUGGACUCUGCAUAUAUUCAUUCCUAUCCCACUGAACUCAUAAUAGGAACAUUGGUUGUCUCCUUCGUGCUCGUUGUAAUUAUUGUGUGGUUCCAUUCACGUUUCACAUUAAAGCCACUAUCUUCUCUCUUCCGCAACUCAAAUAGCUAG
Non-coding RNA from Camellia sinensis, 502 nucleotides. Lineage: Eukaryota; Viridiplantae; Streptophyta; Magnoliopsida; Ericales; Theaceae. The record is from RefSeq and is a predicted model, not a curated record.